Phasianus colchicus (ring-necked pheasant) is the source of this 441-nucleotide long non-coding RNA. RefSeq lists it as uncharacterized. The record is from RefSeq and is a predicted model, not a curated record. NCBI's taxonomy places the organism in Eukaryota, Metazoa, Chordata, Aves, Galliformes, Phasianidae.
UAGACCUGCUAUGUAUUCAGUGCAGCAUGGCAACAGUGUCAGGAACAGACUGCCUACACAUCCCAAUACUUUAUUAGUAAAAAUCCAAUAUUCAGAAAAAAGAAGAAAAUUGUCUCUUGGGACUCUUGUACCUAAUAACAAUGGAAACAACUCUGCAGUUCUGCACUUGAGGUUCACAGCACCAUCUAAAUCUCCUCCCACAGAAUUUUAGCUUUCUACUAAUUAUGCAUGUAAGUGUUCCUCUACUUCCAUAUGCAGAAUGAUAAUCAGUGCAUGGGAAGUCUGCCUCCAGCCAGCCUAGAUCCAUUUCUCACCGUACUCACACAUCACGGAGAAGCUUAAUUGUACAGCCUCAGCAACAGUGACAGCAGCCCUGACCCACUAGGACGCUCCAUGAGUACAACCAGCUCAAAUAUUCAUAAAGCUACUAAUUUAUUGCAA